ACGCUCGACACCUACAGGAGGCAGCAGUGGGGAAUAUUGCACAAUGGGGGAAACCCUGAUGCAGCAACGCCGCGUGAAGGAAGACGGUUUUCGGAUUGUAAACUUCUGUUCUUAGUGAAGAUAGUGACGGUAGCUAAGGAGCAAGCCACGGCUAACUACGUACCAGCAGCCGCGGUAAUCUGAGCGGGCUGGCAAGGC
RNAcentral lists this ribosomal RNA (198 nucleotides) under uncultured bacterium. RNAcentral's name for it is "partial 16S ribosomal RNA". It matches the Rfam family "Bacterial small subunit ribosomal RNA", at positions 328 to 539 of the family's 1533-position model. The record is from RNAcentral.